GUGGGACCCGAGACGAACCCGGGCUUCCAGAGUAGAAAGUCGAAGCGUUUCCACGCGGCCAAUGUCACAACUUUUAAGCCUCUACAUCUUGUUUACAUCAGGGUUUUUCUUUAAGCGGGACAGACUAGUUGGCCGGAUCGGCCGCGUAGAGUUAGACUCUAAUCCAGGUCCUCCACCGGGACCCGAAUGGGAAUCUCCGGAAACCCCUCGAAAAUAUUUAUCGCGAGAUCCGGACCGGGACCGUACUCCACCAUCCGGCCGACCCUUCCGCGGGAGUGGGCAGAUCAGCUCGGUCUUAGGUCUCAGACAUAUGCCAUCAAAGGACAACGCUCUGCUCCGCCGAAAGGCACUACAGAG
Molecule: long non-coding RNA, 357 nt
Filed under: Androctonus crassicauda
Lineage: Eukaryota; Metazoa; Arthropoda; Arachnida; Scorpiones; Buthidae
Source: RNAcentral